RNAcentral lists this microRNA precursor (81 nucleotides) under Canis lupus familiaris (dog). Its description in RNAcentral is "miRNA (ENSCAFG00000055570.1, ENSCAFG00845001340.1)". The record is from RNAcentral. Lineage: Eukaryota; Metazoa; Chordata; Mammalia; Carnivora; Canidae.
CAUCACAUGAAUUGUCCUGUGGACGCGACCUCUCAUCAUGGGGACUGUCACCCUCUGACCCCUGACUAGUCCGGAGCCCUG